RNAcentral lists this ribosomal RNA (484 nucleotides) under uncultured bacterium. RNAcentral describes it as "partial 16S ribosomal RNA". It matches the Rfam family "Bacterial small subunit ribosomal RNA", at positions 30 to 507 of the family's 1533-position model. The record is from RNAcentral.
AUUGAACGCUGGCGGCAGGCCUAACACAUGCCAGUCGAGCGGAUGAAGGGAGCUUGCUCCUGGAUUCAGCGGCGGACGGGUGAGUAAUGCCUAUGAAUCUGCCUGGUAGUGGGGGAUAACGUCCGGAAACGGGCGCUAAUACCGCAUACGUCCUGAGGGAGAAAGUGGGGGAUCUUCGGACCUCACGCUAUCAGAUGAGCCUAGGUCGGAUUAGCUAGUUGGUGGGGUAAAGGCCUACCAAGGCGACGAUCCGUAACUGGUCUGAGAGGAUGAUCAGUCACACUGGAACUGAGACACGGUCCAGACUCCUACGGGAGGCAGCAGUGGGGAAUAUUGGACAAUGGGCGAAAGCCUGAUCCAGCCAUGCCGCGUGUGUGAAGAAGGUCUUCGGAUUGUAAAGCACUUUAAGUUGGGAGGAAGGGCAGUAAGUUAAUACCUUGCUGUUUUGACGUUACCAACAGAAUAAGCACCGGCUAACUUCGUG